This 429-nucleotide ribosomal RNA is filed under the name Chloroflexota bacterium. RNAcentral describes it as "Chloroflexi bacterium partial 16S ribosomal RNA". It matches the Rfam family "Bacterial small subunit ribosomal RNA", at positions 355 to 776 of the family's 1533-position model. The record is from RNAcentral. Lineage: Bacteria; Bacillati; Chloroflexota.
UGGGGAAUAUUGCACAAUGGGCGCAAGCCUGAUGCAGCCAUGCCGCGUGUAUGAAGAAGGCCUUCGGGUUGUAAAGUACUUUCAGCGGGGAGGAAGGGAGUAAAGUUAAUACCUUUGCUCAUUGACGUUACCCGCAGAAGAAGCACCGGCUAACUCCGUGCCAGCAGCCGCGGUAGUACGGAGGGUGCAAGCGUUAAUCGGAAUUACUGGGCGUAAAGCGCACGCAGGCGGUUUGUUAAGUCAGAUGUGAAAUCCCCGGGCUCAACCUGGGAACUGCAUCUGAUACUGGCAAGCUUGAGGCUCGUAGAGGGGGGUAGAAUUCCAGGUGUAGCGGUGAAAUGCGUAGAGAUCUGGAGGAAUACCGGUGGCGAAGGCGGCCCCCUGGACGAAGACUGACGCUCAGGUGCGAAAGCGUGGGGAGCAAACAGG